GAUGAACGCUGGCGGCGUGCCUAAUACAUGCAAGUCGAACGCACAGCGAAAGGUGCUUGCACCUUUCAAGGGAGUGGCGAGCGGGUGAGUACCACGUGGACCACCUGCCUCAAGGCUGGGGAUAACAUUUGGAAACAGAUGCUACUACCGAAUAGAACUUAGUGUCGCGUGACACAAAGUUAAAUGGCGCUUCGGCGUCACCUAGAGAUGGAUCCGCGGUGCAUUGGUUAGUUGGUGGGGUAAAGGCCUACCAAGACAAUGAUGCAUAGCCGAGUUGAGAGACUGAUCGGCCACAUUGGGACUGAGACACGGCCCAAAGUCCUGCGGGAGGCUGCAGUAGGGAAUCUUCCACAAUGGGCGAAAGCCUGAUGGAGCAACGCCGCGUGUGUGAUGAAGGCUUUCGGGUCGUAAAGCACUGCUGUAUGGGAAGAACAGCUAGAAUAGGAAAUGAUUUUAGUUUGACGGUACCAGAUCAGAAAGGGACGGCUAAAUACGUG
Molecule: ribosomal RNA, 497 nt
Filed under: uncultured bacterium
Lineage: Bacteria
Description: partial 16S ribosomal RNA
Rfam family: Bacterial small subunit ribosomal RNA
Source: RNAcentral